Molecule: ribosomal RNA, 789 nt
Filed under: Bacillus sp. (in: firmicutes)
Lineage: Bacteria; Bacillati; Bacillota; Bacilli; Caryophanales; Bacillaceae
Description: bacterial SSU rRNA
Rfam family: Bacterial small subunit ribosomal RNA
Source: RNAcentral
AUACAUGCAAGUCGAGCGGACAGAUGGGAGCUUGCUCCCUGAUGUUAGCGGCGGACGGGUGAGUAACACGUGGGUAACCUGCCUGUAAGACUGGGAUAACUCCGGGAAACCGGGGCUAAUACCGGAUGCUUGUUUGAACCGCAUGGUUCAAACAUAAAAGGUGGCUUCGGCUACCACUUACAGAUGGACCCGCGGCGCAUUAGCUAGUUGGUGAGGUAAUGGCUCACCAAGGCAACGAUGCGUAGCCGACCUGAGAGGGUGAUCGGCCACACUGGGACUGAGACACGGCCCAGACUCCUACGGGAGGCAGCAGUAGGGAAUCUUCCGCAAUGGACGAAAGUCUGACGGAGCAACGCCGCGUGAGUGAUGAAGGUUUUCGGAUCGUAAAGCUCUGUUGUUAGGGAAGAACAAGUACCGUUCGAAUAGGGCGGUACCUUGACGGUACCUAACCAGAAAGCCACGGCUAACUACGUGCCAGCAGCCGCGGUAAUACGUAGGUGGCAAGCGUUGUCCGGAAUUAUUGGGCGUAAAGGGCUCGCAGGCGGUUUCUUAAGUCUGAUGUGAAAGCCCCCGGCUCAACCGGGGAGGGUCAUUGGAAACUGGGGAACUUGAGUGCAGAAGAGGAGAGUGGAAUUCCACGUGUAGCGGUGAAAUGCGUAGAGAUGUGGAGGAACACCAGUGGCGAAGGCGACUCUCUGGUCUGUAACUGACGCUGAGGAGCGAAAGCGUGGGGAGCGAACAGGAUUAGAUACCCUGGUAGUCCACGCCGUAAACGAUGAGUGCUAAGUG